UAACCAUACGCGUACCGCAUUGCGCGGGAGCAAACGACACGUGAAACGCAUUUACCCUCCCCCCCCAUCCCCCCAUAUCGCGUCGAACCGUCUCCGAUUCAAAGCUAUCGGGACGUACCAGUACUGCGCGCGUGUUUAUACGUGUGAAUACGAUUGUGUGCACGAACUCACUGCGAGCAUUAAUUGUAAUGAUUUACCGCGGAUAUCGCGUCGCGGCGUUCGCAACAGUAUAAAUUAUAUACGGCGCAUUCGCCCGGGGGGG
Molecule: non-coding RNA, 262 nt
Organism: Cinara cedri
Lineage: Eukaryota; Metazoa; Arthropoda; Insecta; Hemiptera; Aphididae
Source: the annotation of a GenBank genome assembly